This 471-nucleotide ribosomal RNA is filed under the name uncultured bacterium. Its description in RNAcentral is "bacterial SSU rRNA". It matches the Rfam family "Bacterial small subunit ribosomal RNA", at positions 29 to 506 of the family's 1533-position model. The record is from RNAcentral.
AUGAACGCUAGCGGCAGGCCUAAUACAUGCAAGUCGAACGGGCGAUAGCAAUAUCGCUAGUGGCGCACGGGUGCGUAACGCGUAACCAACCUGCCCUGAACUGGGGGAUAGCCCGCCGAAAGGCGGAUUAAUACCGCAUAAACCAACAGAGUGGCAUCACUUAAUUGGUAAAGAUUUAUUGGUUCAGGAUGGGGUUGCGUGACAUUAGCUAGAUGGCGGGGUAACGGCCCACCAUGGCGACGAUGUCUAGGGGACCUGAGAGGGUGAUCCCCCACACUGGCACUGAGAUACGGGCCAGACUCCUACGGGAGGCAGCAGUAGGGAAUAUUGGGCAAUGGGCGAGAGCCUGACCCAGCCAUGCCGCGUGCCGGAUGAAGGCCUUCUGGGUUGUAAACGGCUUUUCUCAGGGAAGAAAAAGAGGAUGCGUCCUAAACUGACGGUACCUGAGGAAUAAGCACCGGCUAACUCCGU